Molecule: long non-coding RNA, 5122 nt
Filed under: Lynx pardinus (Iberian lynx)
Lineage: Eukaryota; Metazoa; Chordata; Mammalia; Carnivora; Felidae
Source: RNAcentral
CGGCCGCCAGCCGGUUGGGUGAUUAACUCACCGUUUGUCUUUCGGAAAGUGUGCCAGGUGGAUUGAGGCAGCCUGGCCGCUCCGGCUCUCUGCUGACUGCGCCGGGCUGCAGGCCGGAGAGCGCGGAACGAGCGCGCGCGUCACAUGGUGGCGCGGCCCGGAGCCGGCCUUUGUGCCGCGCGACCGCCCGGCCGCCCCGGGGAGGCGGCGGCUAUUGUUCCCCGCGGGGGAGGGAGGUGCUCAGACUCGGGGUCCACGCCAGCCUCCUCCCCAGAGUGUCCCCACAUCUGAGGACGGGUGGGGGCUUCCUUUGUGUGUUUUGGGCCUGCGACGGGAAUGGCGCGCCGUUGCCGCCCCAAGGGGCCGCAGAAGGGGCCGAGAGGUUGGUGCCAGCGCUGUCGCUACUUCGAGCUCGGCCCAACCGACCGACCCAGUUUCCCGCUCUGCCCUUGCGGAAGAGACGGGGAGGGAUGUGGUAUUUGUAGGGCAUGCGCUUGGAACAAUAGAGCCAUCAAAAGGCCUUCUCCCUGGUCUCCUCCCAAGGCAGCUAGGCUCUUCUCCCCUCUUUCGGAAAGGCCGUGGCCCAACAGGUCCUCUUGGCCUGAUUUUAGGCCUGCUUUCCCAGUAAAAACACUUCAUCUGUUCUCCACAAAUCCUAAUUUAAAGUCUCCUCCUUGGACUCUUACUGAUGUAAACAUCCCAUUUUCAUUAUUUUCCAGAUAUUAUUCUUCCAUAAAUUGAUCCAGACUACCAUAGGAACCAGUCAAGAUAUUUUGCCACAGGAUCUAGGACAAGAGGAUUUACCUACUAUUGCCCACCUUGCAAAUCUCCUAGGGACCUUUCACCUGCUUCUGCUACUGCAAAUGAUUGGACAUCCAUUUACAUUUCCUCUUCUUCAUGUGUGGAAGGAAACUUUUGUUCACUGUGCUUCAGGCUGCCCCUGGCCUGAAAGUGGGUCCUUGAAUUCCCCUUGUACCAUUCCAACUUGCCAAGGUGGUUAUGAGACCUGAGGGAGGUGUUUAGGCGUGGACUUUGGGCCAGGUGUGUAAAUCCAUUUGGUACCAACUUUGGGCCCCAAGGAUAAGGGCAUGUGUAGCUGCACCAGAAGAGAGGGGAACAGUGAAAACUAAAAUUUCACCCUCUGUGAUGAUCUUCACCACCACCAGUACCAACAAUGUUGUAAGUACAGAGGAUUCACCUACCCAGUCGUUUUUCCUCUCCAUCCGGGCCCUCUGCAAGAGUGAGCCAGUGCUCAGAGAUGGUGGAGGGUAUGGCUGGUGACUCAGUCUCAACUGUGUCUCAACUGUGUCCAAAGUGUCUAGGGAGAAGUCUGCUCACCGGUAGCUAUAUCCUCUCUGGGAAGGCACAGUGCCCUAAAGUGGUGAGGCUGUAGGCCUGUGGGAACUGGGGCCUCCUGCCCCUCUUUUUAUUUUUAUUUAAUACUCACAAACUUCUCUUCAUUCCCCCCCUUUUUUUCCCUUACAGUUUCUGAAAGAAGGACGGAAGUAACACCAAGAACUCCCAGAUGAAGAGGACCUUCCUGGAUCUGUAACUGGGAUUAACCAGUUCUUUACUGGGAGAGAAAGUUUCAACUAAUCCUCAGGAUAAAAGCAAACAGGCCUGUGACUGUCCCUUGAACACUGACAGUGUAAACAAGCUUCUGGCUCCUCCAGGUCAAGCAGAGCAACACUUUUCAUUAGAAUGUUGGGUUUCUUCUUUGUUAUUCAAACAUACACCCACACACAUCCCCUUGUCCCUCCCUAAUGAACAAACCUCAACAGAUGGAGAGCCUAGGCUCCCAAGACUUAUGACUGAGAAGAUGCACUUCACUCAAGGUGGGUUGGCUUGUACAGAAUGGGGGAGAGAGAAGAAAUGGGAAGCUAGUAUAGGUAAUUACUCCUCUUUUAAUACUCCUUACAGAUAGAAAUCCAAAAAAUCCUGUUCCGCAAGGUUAGCAGCCUCUGGGGCCUGGGAAACCGAUUUGGCUGAUGUGUCUGUGAUAGGGACUAGGCUUGGGGCUGCACCAGGGGGAAAGUACUCACUCUAUAUUCUAUCAUUCUCUCUCAUUUGAAAGCCUGUACAAAGAAAUGGUACAAAUGGAUGGUUAACUUAAUGAUUGCAUCAGAGGCGGAUUUUUCUCUGUCAGGACCCAGGAUGAGGCUGAGGUCUGAAAGCCAGGAGGCAGAACAUUUACUUAAUCGCCCUUUCUUACCGCCUUUCCAGGGGCCAGGACUGCUCUUCAGACCUUUCCUCUGACACGUCCCCGUACCCCUGGCUAGCUCAGUUGGGUCUUCUUACCCCACUCCUGGCUGGGCCUGAGUUUCUCCUGGUAGCCACGGCAAGGUCUCCUUAUAGCUAAAUCUUUUCCCACUCCCACCUCCCAUUCUACUGCGGGCCAUUUUUGCAGCCUCCUCUCUACCCAAAUUUAAUUAACAUUUGAUUGCCUGCACAGAACAACCAGGGGCUCCCAAACCGCUGCCACCCCCAUCCAUGGACCCUUUCUUCAGGCCUCAGGAUGAUCCCCCACAACCUCGCUGAUCCCUCCCCUCCCCCAGCGCUCCCCGCCGCCUCUAUAGGAAAAAAAAAAAAAAAAAGCCGAGCUGGUCAAGGCCUGAGCCAGAGAGCCACGUCCCCCUCUGGAGCAGCAAAGGGGGUAAACCUCCCAGAGACCGAUGCCCAAAGCGAGGCCCGGCCCUUCCCCACCUCCAGGCGUAGGCCCAACAGUGCCAUUGUGAGGCCUUUCCCGACGCGGAGCCCUUGGGGAAGCUGCGCACACAAAGGCGCAGCCGCUCCUGGAAGCCCGGCUUGCUCGGCGCCCUCAACCUAGCGCCGGACAGUCGAGGCCUUGUGCGCUCCCCCAUUGUACCCCACGCGGCCGUCUCGGGCGAAAGUCACGGGCUGGGGUGGAGGUUUCCGUCUCCUGCCAGCUUGCCCCUUCCCGCUCCAGGUCACACACUCCCCCCCACUUCCCCGGGAAGGAGAGGCCUGGGCCCAGAGCGCCAUUGCCCAGCCGGUGCUCCCCUCCCCCACGCUCUUCUUUCUGCUUUCCCGAGGCCCGGGAGGGAGGAGGCGGGCGCCUCCGCCGAUAGAGCAGCUAUUGUGACCUUCCCUCGCCGAGCGGGAACCCAACCGAGUGUACCGCUGGCGGGGGAGGAGGCGACUGUAUGCGCAGACCUCGGGGUGCAGAGGGGGGUGGUACUGGGAAAUAAAUAAAGGUUUGCAACCUUGGGCAGUUGGGCCUUCAGAGGGCGUUUGGUUGUGUUUAGACUCCGGUGCUUCCUAACACUAAUUGCGGGCUCAAAAGGAGCAGAAUUUAUGGCGAAGGCCAAGGCGGCUUGUUUAUAAUUUAUGAAGUUUUAAAUGGCUGUGCUACAGGCCCUCCUCUCGCCCUGGCCGGCGGCCGCGCGGGAAGCGCCUCCCCAGACUCGCCACCGCGCCCUCCUCCCCGCGCCAGGAGCGGCGGAGUGUGCCCAUCACAUGACACGCCGAGGGCAGGAAAGAAUCCAAGCCAUUCUAGGAAGCCCCGAGGAAACCUGUCACCAAAGGUGAGAGAAAGUCAAUUUGUCCCAAGCGAACUCCUCCACCCCGUUAGAGAGGGGUGCCUCCGGGUAACUGCCCGGAGAGGGAGCCCCCGACCCCGCACCUCUCUGGAGCAUCAGUGUGAGAGGAAGCUGAUGUCAGCCGGCCUAGACACCGUUUAAAGUCUAAUCCAUGAGACCUAAGCCGCAGAUGACACUUGGGGCCUUGCAGACACCCGCAGACUCAGCAGAUACUCCUGCGGUAACACACCGCGCUGGAAAACGCCUGGAGCCAUAAUGCAUUAUGUAUUUUUAUUAUUAUUUAUGGUAGGAAGAGGAGAUGAGGGAAAACCGGGCUGAAUCUAAACAGCCCGAUAAUUCAUCUAUUUAAUAUUUAGCCAGUUAAGAAAGGUUGUUGUAAUCCCUGCAAGGCAGCAAGCUCUUCUUUGACUUCCCUAAUAGCUUAAAAAAUAAUUUCUUACAAGACAAUUAGAAAUUCUGCCUAUGGAUGCAAGUUUCAUAGAAAACAAUUUUAAACCUUGCAAAUGGGUAAAAUAUCCCUUCAGUUGAAGUCAUUUAUUCUGUUGAUACACUUGUACAACAUGUAUACUCUAAACCUGCUCAGAUAAAGUGAAAUUUUGCAAAAGGAUAAUCCCUACCACCCCCGAUCUAACAUGCCAUUUUAAAAACAAAGGAACAAGGGAACUAGAUAUUAUUUGAGCUAUCAUUAUUUAGCGAAACACAAACAUCCAAAUAGAAACGAUUGUUGUUCCACCAGAAGAUUAGAAGUUAAAUUAUUUCCACACAAUGGGAAUUUCACCUCGUGUCACGGGGGGGAUGUAGUAGGAGCUGUAUUAUUUGUCAAACCGAAUAGAGAUGCGUGGGCUGACUUUGCUGAAAUACAAAAGACUUGAACCUUAUCUGAAGGCGCUUUCCAAGUGUCUCCUCCUAGAGAAGCGGGUGGACAUUGUCCACCCCUAGCCGAAGCCAGGCUAAUAUUUACAAAGUGGAUAUAAAUCCUUGGAGACAUUUUUGCCCGUGUUGUACAAAGAAACCGGAAUAAACAAGGUGUUUAUACUUGUUGUGUUCCAUUAAUUAAACUUUUAUUACUUUACAUCGUGGGGAACGUUUGUUUACUUGAGAAAUGAACCACCAACCAUCAUAAAGGAAAAAGUCCUGACAGCAUUUCCUAGAGAAAAAGCUUAGGUGCGUGUCUCCAAAUGAUCGUUUCUUUUUGUGCACCUUAGCUUUUUCAGAGCUCAGUUCUUCUUACAACUUCUCUUGUGUCUUUUCUUUGAUUGUCAGUUUUCUUUCAAAGUUUAUUUUUUAUUAGCGCAGAAACGUGAGAGCUGGCCUCCCCAGUGUAAAUGCAACCUUAAAAAGUCGAUUUAUGUCUAAAAAGAAGGUGGUGGAAAUAGCAUAGCAGGCACAGCACAAAGCCCUACCCAGAUUAUCCCCCGCCCCGUCCCGUCCCCGGGGCAUUUCUGGGUUUGCAUCCUCAGAUUUCCACCCCCCACCAAUGUCAAUAGCUGCAAUGUAAUCAAGUAUCCCCAGAACCAAUUCGUAUACCAGAUUCCAAAUAAAUGAAAAAUAGAUAUAUCAAA